RNAcentral lists this transfer RNA (67 nucleotides) under Plegadiphilus threskiornis. Its description in RNAcentral is "tRNA-Tyr". Lineage: Eukaryota; Metazoa; Arthropoda; Insecta; Psocodea; Menoponidae. The record is from RNAcentral.
AGUAAGGUGGCUGAAUACUAAGCGGAAAACUGUAAAUUUUCAUAUGAGGAUCUCUCCUCUCUUACUA